CCUACGGGAUGCUGCAGUGGGGAAUAUUGGACAAUGGGCGAAAGCCUGAUCCAGCCAUGCCGCGUGUGUGAAGAAGGCCUUCGGGUUGUAAAGCACUUUCAGUGGGGAAGAAAGCCUUGGGGCUAAUACCCUCGAGGAAGGACAUCACCCACAGAAGAAGCACCGGCUAACUCCGUGCCAGCAGCCGCGGUAAUACGGAGGGUGCGAGCGUUAAUCGGAAUUACUGGGCGUAAAGCGCGCGUAGGCGGUCUGAUAAGCCGGUUGUGAAAGCCCCGGGCUCAACCUGGGAACGGCAUCCGGAACUGUCAGGCUAGAGUGCAGGAGAGGAAAGUAGAAUUCCCGGUGUAGCGGUGAAAUGCGUAGAGAUCGGGAGGAAUACCAGUGGCGAAGGCGGCCUUCUGGACUGACACUGACGCUGAGGUGCGAAAGCGUGGGUAGCAAACAGGAUUAGAUACCCCUGUAGUC
This 465-nucleotide ribosomal RNA is filed under the name Vreelandella stevensii. Its description in RNAcentral is "partial 16S ribosomal RNA". It matches the Rfam family "Bacterial small subunit ribosomal RNA", at positions 338 to 795 of the family's 1533-position model. The record is from RNAcentral. Lineage: Bacteria; Pseudomonadati; Pseudomonadota; Gammaproteobacteria; Oceanospirillales; Halomonadaceae.